CAAAAUCUGGAACCCUACACGACCAGGAUAGCCAAUAUCUGCCCUACGUUGUCUGGAAUAAGCCAGACUCAAACCCGAAAGGAACAGCCCAACAUCUGCUCAAAGUAACUAUCAAAGGUAACCAUCGCGAACCUGACAUCACACGGACAUCUGUUUGGCAGUAAGCUGUCAGGUGAGAGCACACGCUAACUUUCGGCUACCCCUUAAAGGCGUAUAAUUGACCCGUUAUUGAGAACCUUCGUGAUCUGUCAAAUAACGGGUCACUUUAUCGGAUCAAAAUUACCCUUUAUUUCGAAAAGCUUGAGUCCAGCCAUAAAGGGUAGUCUUGGAACUUUGUAAAUUUUUGAAUUUUAUUUGCGCUUGUGAAAAUUUACCUCUGCAAGGGGAACUGGAUGAGGAGGAUUCGAUUCCCACGGAGCCAAUUGAAGGAAAACUGCGAAAAAUUAUGUGGGAGCUGCGGAUUCGUGAAAAAUUAAGCAACGUCUCUUCCAAUCUUUGGAUGGUUGUAAGAAUUCGAUUCCGUCAUCAUGAUGAAGGUCCAACUUUGUGUAUUCCCACAAGCAGCCAAAUAGGGACAAUGAAAGAUACGCAAACGAUUUAUAAAAAUUUUGCUUGUGAUACUUA
Uranotaenia lowii is the source of this 624-nucleotide long non-coding RNA. RefSeq lists it as uncharacterized. The record is from RefSeq and is a predicted model, not a curated record. The transcript has 3 exons. NCBI's taxonomy places the organism in Eukaryota, Metazoa, Arthropoda, Insecta, Diptera, Culicidae.